UGCCUUGCAUUAAUCUGGGUUUAUCUAGUGAAAUUUGUUCAUUUUGACUUGUCAAGUUAUCUGAGAAGUAUGCACUACUAGAGCCAUGUGCAAACAUUUCUGCCUUAUUCUAUCCACUCCCUGCCUAUUAAAAAAUUGUGAAGAAAGAUCUACAAGAAGAAAUACCUGAUACCUCUUUUCAUUGAACACCUCAUUCGAUAGUUCUGCCAGUGCUUAAAAAACCCUGCAAAAAGAAAUCAUGUUUGGAAAUUCUGUGGUCAUCUUUAAGAAAACAUGUGUGGUGAUGGCUAUAUUCCAUUUUUUCUGCUGCUGAAUC
Molecule: long non-coding RNA, 316 nt
Filed under: Daphnia pulicaria
Lineage: Eukaryota; Metazoa; Arthropoda; Branchiopoda; Diplostraca; Daphniidae
Description: uncharacterized LOC124342407, transcript variant X2
Source: RNAcentral